Molecule: ribosomal RNA, 446 nt
Filed under: Belliena sp. Yanayacu
Lineage: Eukaryota; Metazoa; Arthropoda; Arachnida; Araneae; Salticidae
Description: partial 16S ribosomal RNA
Rfam family: Bacterial large subunit ribosomal RNA (bases 66-362)
Source: RNAcentral
CAUUUUUUUUUAUUUAUUUUAUUAAAAAUUUAAUUUUACUAAAAUGUAAAAAGACAUUUAUAAUUUAGAAAGACGACAAGACCCUAUUGAACUUAACUUAAGUUAAACUGGGGCAGUAAAUUAAUUAUAAUUUUAAUUAUGUAAUAUAUAUAAAUAUCCAAUAUUAUUUAAUAAUGCAGUUACCAUAGGGAUAACAGCGCAAUUAAAUUUUAAAGUUCUUAUAUAAAAUAUAGAUUACGACCUCGAUGUUGAAUUAAUAACCUAUUUUAAGCAAAUUUAAAAAAAGGGAGUCUGUUCGACUUUUAAAAAAUUACAUGAUUUGAGUUCAGACCGGUUUAAGCCAGGUCGGUUUCUAUCUUCUAAAUAAUUUUUUACAGUACGAAAGGACCUAAAAAUAUUUUAUAAAUUUGGCAGAUUAAUGCAUUAGAAUUAGAAUCUAAAUAACU